UGUAUCAAUUUUCUCUUCUUAUGUAUGGUUUAUAUAAGUUGUACACUACCUAGCUACAGCUAUACCCUUUCUGUAUAAUGGGGUGAUUCUUCAAGGUAUGACUUUUCCAAAAUGAACAGAGUUGCUCAUAGACUGGGGCAUUGAAUUUGUUGUCAAAGAUCUUUCCUUGAUUACAGACGCUUCAUGGAGUUAUUAGUAACACAAAUAUUUAUCGUAGAAAUUAGAAAGAUAAUGAACCGCUCUGAUAAUUUUAUCGAACCUGGAUUGCAGGCGCUUCAUGGAGUUAUCAUGAUACAACUGUUUACAAUGUUGGGCAUGAUAUGACAGCAACAGCAAUGGGUUCUAGCCUCUGCGUGCUGUAAGGAAAGCAAGGUCAGUCAAACAUCUUCAUCAUGAAAUAUGGAAUAUAUGAGAAGGAUUUGUAGGUGAUAACAAAUUAGAUUCUAUUCUAGGUCAAGGGGUUAAGGACCUUUUUGAGGAAGAUACUAUAAUGCUGCUCCAUUUUUAAGUAGAGGCAAUAACUUGUCCAUCAAUUGGAGCAUCAAGCUCGGCAUGAUGCGUCUCAGUUUCAAGCACUUGUUUGUCCGACGGACUUACCGUUUUAUGAAUAUUUUUGUAAGCCGUUUUAUGGUUUUUUAUAAGCCAUUUUAUAAAUCGUAGAAGCUUAUAAAUGUACAGGAGACUGAAAAUUUUGUGUACAUGUUAGUGUU
Molecule: long non-coding RNA, 710 nt
Organism: Lolium rigidum
Lineage: Eukaryota; Viridiplantae; Streptophyta; Magnoliopsida; Poales; Poaceae
Exons: 3
Source: RefSeq, a predicted model, not a curated record